This 409-nucleotide ribosomal RNA is filed under the name bacterium. RNAcentral's name for it is "partial 16S ribosomal RNA". It matches the Rfam family "Bacterial small subunit ribosomal RNA", at positions 355 to 776 of the family's 1533-position model. The record is from RNAcentral.
UGGGGAAUAUUGCACAAUGGGCGAAAGCCUGAUGCAGCGACGCCGCGUGAGGGAUGACGGCCUUCGGGUUGUAAACCUCUUUCAGCAGGGACGAAGCGCAAGUGACGGUACCUGCAGAAGAAGCACCGGCUAACUACGUGCCAGCAGCCGCGGUAAUACGUAGGGUGCAAGCGUUGUCCGGAAUUACUGGGCGUAAAGAGUUCGUAGGCGGUUUGUCGCGUCGUUUGUGAAAACCAGCAGCACAACUGCUGGCUUGCAGGCGAUACGGGCAGACUUGAGUACUGCAGGGGAGACUGGAAUUCCUGGUGUAGCGGUGAAAUGCGCAGAUAUCAAGAGGAUCACCGGUGGCGAAGGCGGGUCUCUGGGCAGUAACUGACGCUGAGGAACGAAAGCGUGGGUAGCGAGCAGG